GGUGAGAAUCCCGUCCACCGAUUGACUAAGGUUUCCAGAGGAAGGCUCGUCCGCUCUGGGUUAGUCGGGACCUAAGCCGAGGCCGACAGGCGUAGGCGAUGGAUAACAGGUUGAUAUUCCUGUACCACCUCAAUUCGUUUUAAGCGAUGGGGGGACGCAGUAGGAUAGGCGAAGCGUGCUGUUGGAGUGCACGUCCAAGCAGU
This 203-nucleotide ribosomal RNA is filed under the name Astrosyne radiata. RNAcentral's name for it is "partial Bacterial large subunit ribosomal RNA". It matches the Rfam family "Bacterial large subunit ribosomal RNA", at positions 1320 to 1520 of the family's 2925-position model. The record is from RNAcentral. Lineage: Eukaryota; Bacillariophyta; Fragilariophyceae; Cyclophorales; Cyclophoraceae.